GGGUCCAUCGUAUAAUGGUAGUACAUCGCUCUCCAAAAGCGACAGCCCAGGUCCGAUUCCUGGUGGGCCCG
RNAcentral lists this transfer RNA (71 nucleotides) under bacterium. RNAcentral describes it as "tRNA-Trp". It matches the Rfam family "tRNA". Rfam says of the family: Transfer RNA (tRNA) molecules are approximately 80 nucleotides in length. Their secondary structure includes four short double-helical elements and three loops (D, anti-codon, and T loops). RNAcentral also lists the same sequence under 2 other names. The record is from RNAcentral.